AUCAGUAUGAAAUAUAUUUGCUCUAUUUUCGUUUAAACAAUAUCUUAUCUCCUCGAAUUAGUCUAAGAAGUGUUUAUAUCAUUUACAAUGAAAUUGUUAUCAUUUUUGAGGGCUUUAUUUUAUAGUGGUAAAUAAUUUAGUAAAUUCGAAUUGGCGACAUAGGCCUAUAUCGGAUUUGAAAUUCAGUUGUAUUGGCGGACAAAAAAACAACGAGCUGACAGACAAAGUUGAAUAUUCCAAACAAAAUGAAAAGAUUGUGGAAAUUAUGAUAAUUCAACAUCUGGCAAAAGUUCAGGAGGAAGAUGAAAGUAUUAAGAGGAAAAGAAAAACGAAAACUUACCAAGAUUUUGUGACAGAAAGUGUGAUGAGAUUUAGGUUGGAGACGGUAAUGAUACGCUUACAGUAUGCCCCAGAUCGACACAGUGGAGGAGGACGAAAGAAGAUACAUAAACAUUGCUAUUUAUAAUAAUAACAAAAUAUUCAGAAUAUUGUUCCAUUUAACAUUCAGAUCUAGAUUCAGUUAUAAAAUACAAAGACAAAUAUACAAUCAGUGAACUGGAUAGAUGAUUGGAAAAUCCCAAAAUCAGGGUGAUCAGUUCAUGAUCAGUGGUGAAAUAAAAAAAAAACACAUGCAUGGAUGUUUACUAUACAAAAUGUCAGUGGUAAUAUUCAAGAAGGAUUUUGUGUAUCUAAUUUCUAAAACAUGCUUAUUUAAUACAUAAAGCGUUAUUAAAGUACUUACUUUCAAGUUUAAUAGUUUCAAAAAAUAUUAUGUAAAUCUUGCAUUUGUUAUCGUACCACAUUUCUUGUUUGGAACUUGUGAUUCCGAGUAUGCAAAUAAAUUGCUAAAAUUAUAAGAA
Molecule: long non-coding RNA, 860 nt
Organism: Ruditapes philippinarum (Manila clam)
Lineage: Eukaryota; Metazoa; Mollusca; Bivalvia; Venerida; Veneridae
Exons: 3
Source: RefSeq, a predicted model, not a curated record